This 403-nucleotide ribosomal RNA is filed under the name bacterium. RNAcentral describes it as "partial 16S ribosomal RNA". It matches the Rfam family "Bacterial small subunit ribosomal RNA", at positions 355 to 776 of the family's 1533-position model. The record is from RNAcentral. RNAcentral also lists the same sequence under 1 other name.
UGGGGAAUAUUGCACAAUGGGGGAAACCCUGAUGCAGCGACGCCGCGUGAACGAAGAAGGUAUUCGUAUCGUAAAGUUCUGUCCUAUGGGAAGAUAAUGACAGUACCAUAGAAGAAAGCUCCGGCUAAAUACGUGCCAGCAGCCGCGGUAAUACGUAUGGAGCGAGCGUUGUCCGGAAUUAUUGGGCGUAAAGGGUACGCAGGCGGUUUAAUAAGUCGAAUGUUAAAGAUCGGGGCUCAACCCCGUAAAGCAUUGGAAACUGAUAAACUUGAGUAGUGGAGAGGAAAGUGGAAUUCCUAGUGUAGUGGUGAAAUACGUAGAUAUUAAGAGGAAUACCAGUAGCGAAGGCGACUUUCUGGACACAAACUGACGCUGAGGUACGAAAGCGUGGGGAGCAAACAGG